This is a transfer RNA of Ipomoea nil (Japanese morning glory), 73 nucleotides long. It matches the Rfam family "tRNA". From Rfam's summary of the family: Transfer RNA (tRNA) molecules are approximately 80 nucleotides in length. Their secondary structure includes four short double-helical elements and three loops (D, anti-codon, and T loops). Further hydrogen bonds mediate the characteristic L-shaped molecular structure. tRNAs have two regions of fundamental functional importance: the anti-codon, which is responsible for specific mRNA codon recognition, and the 3' end, to which the tRNAs corresponding amino acid is attached (by aminoacyl-tRNA synthetases). tRNAs cope with the degeneracy of the genetic code in two manners: having more than one tRNA (with a specific anti-codon) for a particular amino acid; and 'wobble' base-pairing, i.e. permitting non-standard base-pairing at the 3rd anti-codon position. The record is from Rfam. NCBI's taxonomy places the organism in Eukaryota, Viridiplantae, Streptophyta, Magnoliopsida, Solanales, Convolvulaceae.
UCCGUUGUAGUCUAGUUGGUUAGGAUACUCGGCUCUCACUUGAGAGACUUGGGUUUAAUUCCUGGCAAUAGAA